CAAGCGGCGGAGCAUGCGGAUAAAUUCGAUGCAACGCGAAGAAUCUUACCAAGGCUUGACAUUCACCGGACCGCCUCAGAGAUGGGGUUUCCCUUCGGGGCUGGUGGACAGGUGGUGCAUGGUUGUCGUCAGCUCGUGUCGUGAGAUGUUGGGUUAAGUCCCGCAACGAGCGCAACCCUCGUUCUAUGUUGCCAGCACGUGAUGGUGGGGACUCAUAGGAGACUGCCGGGGUCAACUCGGAGGAAGGUGGGGAUGACGUCAAAUCACCAUGCCCCUUAUGUCUUGGGCUUCACGCAUGCUACAAUGGCCGGUACAAAGGGUUGCGAUACUGUGAGGUGGAGCUAAUCCCAAAAAGCCGGUCUCAGUUCGGAUUGAGGUCUGCAACUCGACCUCAUGAAGUCGGAGUCGCUAGUAAUCGCAGAUCAGCAACGCUGCGGUGAAUACGUUCCCGGGCCUUGUACACACC
This 466-nucleotide ribosomal RNA is filed under the name uncultured bacterium. Its description in RNAcentral is "bacterial SSU rRNA". It matches the Rfam family "Bacterial small subunit ribosomal RNA", at positions 926 to 1391 of the family's 1533-position model. The record is from RNAcentral.